GACGUAGGGCGCGAGCGUUGUCCGGAUUUAUUGGGCGUAAAGAGCUCGUAGGCGGCUUGUCGCGUCGUCCGUGAAAACCCACAGCUCAACUGUGGGCUUGCGGUCGAUACGGGCAGGCUAGAGUUCGGUAGGGGAGACUGGAAUUCCUGGUGUAGCGGUGAAAUGCGCAGAUAUCAGGAGGAACACCGGUGGCGAAGGCGGGUCUCUGGGCCGAUAUUGACGCUGAGGAGCGAAAGCGUGGGGAGCGAACAGG
RNAcentral lists this ribosomal RNA (253 nucleotides) under uncultured bacterium. Its description in RNAcentral is "partial 16S ribosomal RNA". It matches the Rfam family "Bacterial small subunit ribosomal RNA", at positions 524 to 776 of the family's 1533-position model. The record is from RNAcentral.